This 336-nucleotide unclassified non-coding RNA is filed under the name soil metagenome. RNAcentral describes it as "partial contains 5.8S ribosomal RNA, internal transcribed spacer 2, and large subunit ribosomal RNA". The stretch from base 1 to 120 matches the Rfam family "5.8S ribosomal RNA", at positions 35 to 154 of the family's 154-position model. The record is from RNAcentral.
GAUGAAGAACGUAGCGAGAUGCGAUAAGUAAUGUGAAUUGCAGAAUUCAGUGAAUCAUCGAAUCUUUGAACGCACAUUGCGCCCGCCAGUAUUCUGGCGGGCAUGCCUGUUCGAGCGUCAUUUCAACCAUCAAGCCCCAGGCUUGUGUUGGGGACCUGCGGCUGCCGCAGGCCCUGAAAACCAGUGGCGGGCUCGCUAGUCACACCGAGCGUAGUAGCAUACACAUCGCUCAGGGCGUGCUGCGGGUUCCGGCCGUUAAACCCCUUUUUUACCCAAGGUUGACCUCGGAUCAGGUAGGAAGACCCGCUGAACUUAAGCAUAUCAAUAAGCGGAGGA